Molecule: ribosomal RNA, 468 nt
Filed under: uncultured bacterium
Lineage: Bacteria
Description: bacterial SSU rRNA
Rfam family: Bacterial small subunit ribosomal RNA
Source: RNAcentral
ACUCCUACGGGAGGCAGCAGUGGGGAAUAUUGCACAAUGGGCGCAAGCCUGAUGCAGCCAUGCCGCGUGUAUGAAGAAGGCCUUCGGGUUGUAAAGUACUUUCAGCAGUGAGGAAGGCGGGUACGUUAAUAGCGUGCUCGUUUGACGUUAGCUGCAGAAGAAGCACCGGCUAACUCCGUGCCAGCAGCCGCGGUAAUACGGAGGGUGCGAGCGUUAAUCGGAAUUACUGGGUCGUAAAGCGCAUGCAGGUGGUUUGUUAAGUCAGAUGUGAAAGCCCGGGGCUCAACCUCGGAAUUGCAUUUGAAACUGGCAGACUAGAGUACUAGUAGAGGGGGGUAGAAUUUCAGGUGUAGCGGUGAAAAUGCGUAAGAGAUACUGAAGGAAUACCGGUAGGCGAAGGCGGCCCCCUGGACAGAUACUGACACUACAGAUAGCGAAAAAGCGUGGGGAAGCAAAACAGGAUUAGAU